RNAcentral lists this ribosomal RNA (569 nucleotides) under Blastocystis hominis. Its description in RNAcentral is "SSU rRNA". It matches the Rfam family "Eukaryotic small subunit ribosomal RNA", at positions 1 to 598 of the family's 1831-position model. The record is from RNAcentral. Lineage: Eukaryota; Bigyra; Opalinata; Blastocystidae.
AUCUAGAUGAUCCAACCAGUAGUAAUUCGCUCGUCACAAAGAUUCAGCCAUGCAUGGGUAAGGAUAAAUAGGUACCUUUGAAGCUGCGAAUGUUUCAUUAUAUCAGUUAUAGUUUAUGUGAUGAAGAAUACUAAUUGGAUAACCGUAGUAAUUCUAGAGCUAAUACAUGUAUAAAGUCUUGUAGUCUGCAUUUAUUAGAAUGAAAACCAUAGGUUUCGGCCUAUUCGUGAGUAAUAAUAACUAAUCAUAUCGUAUGCUUAUGUAGCGAUGUUUCUUUCAAGUUUCUGCCCUAUCAGCUUUGGAUGGUAGUGUACUGGCCUCCCAUGGCAGUGGCGGGUAGCGAAGAAUUUGGGUUCCAUUUCGGAGAGCGAGCCAGAGAGAUGCCCCCCCCAUCCAAGGAACACAGCAGGCGAGUAACCCACCCUAUCCCCGCGCAGGGAGGUAGAGACAAUAACACACAAUGCGCCUCAAGGUUUUGCAAUUGGAAUGAGAACAACGUACAUCCCUUAUCGAUAAACAAUUGGAGGGCAAGUCUGGUGCCAGCAGCCGCGGUAAUCCAGCUCCAUAGC